RNAcentral lists this transfer RNA (65 nucleotides) under Actinomyces naeslundii. It matches the Rfam family "tRNA", at positions 5 to 66 of the family's 71-position model. From Rfam's summary of the family: Transfer RNA (tRNA) molecules are approximately 80 nucleotides in length. Their secondary structure includes four short double-helical elements and three loops (D, anti-codon, and T loops). Further hydrogen bonds mediate the characteristic L-shaped molecular structure. tRNAs have two regions of fundamental functional importance: the anti-codon, which is responsible for specific mRNA codon recognition, and the 3' end, to which the tRNAs corresponding amino acid is attached (by aminoacyl-tRNA synthetases). tRNAs cope with the degeneracy of the genetic code in two manners: having more than one tRNA (with a specific anti-codon) for a particular amino acid; and 'wobble' base-pairing, i.e. permitting non-standard base-pairing at the 3rd anti-codon position. The record is from RNAcentral. Lineage: Bacteria; Bacillati; Actinomycetota; Actinomycetes; Actinomycetales; Actinomycetaceae.
CGGUAGCUCAGUGGAUAGAGCGUCUGCCUCCGGAGCAGAAGGUCGCAGGUUCGAAUCCUGUCCGG